GCUCCUUUAGUAUAAUGGUUAGUACAAUAGUUUUGUAAACUAUGAAUAUCUGUUCAAUUCGGAUAGGGAGCACCA
This 75-nucleotide transfer RNA is filed under the name Caudoviricetes sp. RNAcentral describes it as "tRNA-Thr". It matches the Rfam family "tRNA". Rfam says of the family: Transfer RNA (tRNA) molecules are approximately 80 nucleotides in length. Their secondary structure includes four short double-helical elements and three loops (D, anti-codon, and T loops). Lineage: Duplodnaviria; Heunggongvirae; Uroviricota; Caudoviricetes. The record is from RNAcentral.